Molecule: non-coding RNA, 124 nt
Organism: Triticum urartu
Lineage: Eukaryota; Viridiplantae; Streptophyta; Magnoliopsida; Poales; Poaceae
Source: Rfam
UUACUACUUCCUCCGUCCGGAAAUACUUGUCUUAGGAAUGGUUUUAUCUAGACUUAUUUUAGUUAUAGAUACAUCCAUUUUAUCCAUUUCUAGGACAAGUAUUUCCGGACGGAGGGAGUACAUU